RNAcentral lists this ribosomal RNA (270 nucleotides) under uncultured bacterium. RNAcentral describes it as "partial 16S ribosomal RNA". It matches the Rfam family "Bacterial small subunit ribosomal RNA", at positions 524 to 791 of the family's 1533-position model. The record is from RNAcentral.
GACAGAGGGUGCAAACGUUGUUCGGAAUUACUGGGCGUAAAGCGUGUGUAGGCGGCUUUGCAAGUCGGAUGUGAAAGCCCGGGGCUCAACCUCGGAAGUGCACUCGAUACUGCAGAGCUAGAGUUUCGGAGAGGUUGGUGGAAUUCUCGGUGUAGAGGUGAAAUUCAUAGAUAUCGAGAGGAACACCGGUGGCGAAGGCGGCCAACUGGACGAAGACUGACGCUGAGACACGAAAGCGUGGGGAGCAAACAGGAAUUAGAAACCCGAGGU